AGAGAGAGAGAGAGAGAGAGAGAGAAAUGAAGUCCAGAUAUUAUAUACAUAGAAAAGAUUUCAGACAUUGUCUAAAUAUCUUCACCUGUAAAAGCUAUUUAGCACUUCAAUUAUGCUUGGUGUGCAAUUAUCCAUCACCUUUUUCUUGCGCAAUCUGAUUNUCAACGACCAACAGACUUGAAGGAUUCAGUAAAUGUAAUUGAAGGUGUACUAUAACUCAAG
This 222-nucleotide unclassified non-coding RNA is filed under the name Hevea brasiliensis (rubber tree). The record is from RNAcentral. Lineage: Eukaryota; Viridiplantae; Streptophyta; Magnoliopsida; Malpighiales; Euphorbiaceae.